Non-coding RNA from Pelobates cultripes (western spadefoot toad), 1218 nucleotides. NCBI's taxonomy places the organism in Eukaryota, Metazoa, Chordata, Amphibia, Anura, Pelobatidae. The record is from the annotation of a GenBank genome assembly.
GUGUGUGCUGUGUGUGUCAGGGGUGCAGUGUGUGUGUGUGAGAGUGCUGUGAGUGUUAGGGGUGCAUUUUGUUUGUGCUGUGUCAGGCGUGCAGUGUGUGUGAGGGUGCUGUGAGUGUCAGGGGUGCAGUGUGUGUGUGAGGGUGCUGAGAGUGUCAGGGGUGCAGUGUGUGUGCUGUGUGUGUCAGGGGUGCAGUGUGUGUGUGUGAGGGUGCUCUGAGUGUUAGGGGUGCAUUUUGUUUGUGCUGUGUCAGACGUGCAGUGUGUGUGUGAGGGUGCUGUGAGUGUCAGGGGUGCAGUGUGUGCGCUGUGCGUGUCAGGGGUGCAGUGUGUGUGUGUGUGUGUGCUGUGAGUGUUAGGGGUGCAUUUUGUGUGUGCUGUGAGGGUCAGAUGUGCAGUGUGUGUGUGUGUGUGAGGGUGCAGUGUAUGUGCUGUGAGUGUUAGGGGUGCAGUGUGUGUGUGUGUGAGGGUGCUGUGUCAGGGGUGCAGUGUGUGUGCUGUGAGUGUUAGGGGUGCAUUUUGUUUGUGUGAGGUGCUGUGAGUGUUAGGAGUGCAUUUUGUUUUGUGCUGUGUCAGGCGUGCAGUGUGUGUGAGGUGCUGUGAGUGUCAGGGGUGCAGUGUGUGUGUGAGGGUGCUGAGAGUGUCAGGGGUGCAGUGUGUGUGCUGUGCUGUGUCAGAGUGCAGGUGUGUGUGUGUGAGGGUGCCUGAGUGUUAGGGUGCAUUUUGUUUGUGCUGUGUCAGACGUGCAGUGUGUGUGUGAGGGUGCUGACAGUGUCAGGGGUGCAGUGUGUGAGGGUGCUGUGAGUGUUAGGGGUGCAUUUUGUGAGUGCUGUGAGGGUCAGACGUGCAGUGUGUGUGUGUGAGGGUGCUGUGAGUGUCAGGGGUGCAGUGUGUGCACUGUGCGUGUCAGGGGUGCAGUGUGUGUGUGUGUGUGUGUGUGAGGGUGCUGUGAGUGUUAAGGGUGCAUUUUGUGUGUGCUGUGAGGGUCAGACGUGCAGUGUGUGUGUGAGGGUGCAGUGUAUGUGCUGUGAGUGUUAGGGGUGCAGUGUGUGUGUGUGAGGGUGCUGUGAGUGUAAGGGGUGCAUUUUGUUUGUGCUGUGUCAGACGUGCAGUGUGUGUGAGGGUGCUGUGAGAGUCAGGGGUGCAGUGUGUGUGUGAGGGUGCUGUGAGUGUCAGGGGUGCAGUGUGUGUGUGAGGGUGCUGUGAGUGUCAGGGGUGC